GGAGCUGUGGUGUAGGGGUUAACAUGCCUGCCUGUCACGCAGGAGAUCGCGGGUUCGAAUCCCGUCAGCUCCGCCA
This 76-nucleotide transfer RNA is filed under the name Kroppenstedtia pulmonis. RNAcentral's name for it is "tRNA-Asp". It matches the Rfam family "tRNA". Rfam says of the family: Transfer RNA (tRNA) molecules are approximately 80 nucleotides in length. Their secondary structure includes four short double-helical elements and three loops (D, anti-codon, and T loops). The record is from RNAcentral. Lineage: Bacteria; Bacillati; Bacillota; Bacilli; Caryophanales; Thermoactinomycetaceae. RNAcentral also lists the same sequence under 1 other name.